UGGUUGUUGCAAUUCUGAUUAUGUCAUGUUGGUUAAAAAGCAAAUGGUGUGCUGAAUCAUGUCAAAGGUUUUAACCCUUUUCUCAUCAUUCUACCUUCAGUUCAGAUUUCAGAAGAAGAAAAUGUUGGAUAUAUAUAUAUAUGUAUAUAUAUGUGUAACCUCCUUCCCUCUUCUAUGAGGCAUUACUCUAAUUUUCAAAUACAGUAUAUUUUGCGCCGUGAUGUUUUAUGAAUUUUUUCUUGGAUAUCAUCACCUGUCUGAAUUAUCCACAAUGUUUUGGCAUUGAUCAAAUAUGUGCCUGUCUGAAUUAUCCAUGAGGUUUUCCCAUGAAACAGAUGCAUGGCUGUCGGUUGAAAUCAUAAUUCUUUCCAUAAAUUUGCUUCUCAUCUGAAGUAAUAUUAGCUUGGCCCAUUGGUGAUUUAUGACAGAAGAAAUUCUCCUAACAGUCAAGUACUCACUAUACCCUUUUGCUCCAUUCUACCUUUCUUCUUGCUCCUGCCUGAUUCGUGUUUGUCUCCACUCCACAUUCCACAACCAUUACAUAUCUUCGGAAUAUUGAUUUUAUAAUUAGAUUUCUUUUUUUGCAUUUAGUUCCAUAUUUCCAAUUCUUUUAGGAUUCUCGUGUAAAUGUUCGUAAGAGUUGCUCAUUGUAGCCUACUGAUAAGAUCAACUGGAAGGUUUAGAAUUGGUUGAUUAUUUCUGCUUGUUUCUUGACUUUUUUGUUAAUAGCAUUUUUCUUGACAUUUUCUUACUCACAUAAUAAAUCUUACAAUCGAAAUGACGGAUAUGGCAGAGAAACAAAUCUGUUGGAGGGGUCUGGAACUGUGGCUCAGAGUUGACUUAUAUGAAUGCAGAGUCAUCUGCACAUGUGUUUAUCAACUAUCGUUGUUGUAGUUGACGGAAUGCAUCACCCCUAUUUAUCAAAGGAGGGAUCUCUUUCUCGUGAGAGUGAUGGCGGUUUGAUAUGAAGCAACUUUUCUUGUUUUGGUUCUUUUCCUCUUCUGAUUUCGCAAUUCUGUAAUGGUAUGCAAUCCCUGCAUCCAUCAACUGCUUUCUCCGGAGCCUGGAGCAAGGAUGACACCACCCACGCCCUUGACGAUUUCACGCUGGCCUAUUAGCAAACCAAUGGUCAAUAUUUGAGUAUACUGCAACAUUGAUAAAAGAAAUGUGUCCCUAGGCUUUCUCAUUUUCUUUAACUUCGGGUUAUUUUUGUUCAGGUAAGAUCCACCUUGAGAAGUACAUGUCUUGAGUUCUGGGAGGGAAUUGCAUUGAUACUGAUGUAACAAUUUGUGUUGCACUUUGCAUUGUGAUGAUGAAGAAUGAUUAUUUUGAAAUUUCCCAUAAUUGGUUCAUACUUUUGCUUCUUAGAGCCACUAUCUCAAGAAGUGUUGUUUUCACUCAAUAUUAUUAGAGCAACCAUUGUCAUCCACUAAUGAGUAAGGCUUUUCAGACUGUCGGUCUUCUACCGAAAUUCGGGUUGCGACAACUUCAAUAUCUCCUAAAAGAUUUGGAGUGAACCUAACACAAGAGUUGGAGUUUUUGCUUAUGAUCUUGAUCUUCAAUAUUAUGUGAAAGUUUUGGUUUGAAAUAAUCAUUUGAUAUUAAAUUUUUGAAGAGUUUUGAUAAUGUGAUUGGAUUAAAUAUUUUAUAGACCAAAACAACAUACUCAAAAGAUGAUGCUUGAGGUUUUUGAUGUUGGUU
This 1701-nucleotide small RNA is filed under the name Lupinus albus (white lupine). RNAcentral's name for it is "hypothetical ncRNA". Lineage: Eukaryota; Viridiplantae; Streptophyta; Magnoliopsida; Fabales; Fabaceae. The record is from RNAcentral.